GGUCCCGCCUGCCCAGUGACUCUUUAAAACGGCCGCGGUAUCCUAACCGUGCAAAGGUAGCAUAAUCACUUGUCCCUUAAAUCGGGACUGGAAUGAACGGCUAAAUGAGGACUAAACUGUCUCUUACAGGCUAGCCAAUGAAAUUGAUUUUCCAGUACAAAAGCUGGAAUAUAACCACAAGACGAGAAGACCCUGUGGAGCUUACAAACCAAAUUCACCAAACAUGUCUUUAUCGGUUUUCAGUUGGGGCGACUUUGGAGUAAAAAACAACCUCCAAACACCAAACUAAUUAAGAACAACAUAUCAAAAUAUAUCUGUAAUGACCCAGCAGCCCUGUGGUUGUCUGAUUAAUGAACCAAGUUACCCCAGGGAAUAACAGCGCCAUCCCCUUCUAGAGUCCCUAUCGACAAGGGGGUUUACGACCUCGAUGUUGGAUCAGGACACCCCAAUGGUGCAGCCGCCAUUAACG
This 469-nucleotide ribosomal RNA is filed under the name Anatololacerta pelasgiana. RNAcentral describes it as "partial large subunit ribosomal RNA". It matches the Rfam family "Bacterial large subunit ribosomal RNA", at positions 1851 to 2570 of the family's 2925-position model. The record is from RNAcentral. Lineage: Eukaryota; Metazoa; Chordata; Lepidosauria; Squamata; Lacertidae.